This 363-nucleotide ribosomal RNA is filed under the name Triticum aestivum (bread wheat). Its description in RNAcentral is "partial small subunit ribosomal RNA". The record is from RNAcentral. Lineage: Eukaryota; Viridiplantae; Streptophyta; Magnoliopsida; Poales; Poaceae.
AUGGACUCUGUCUCAAUAUUUUGUUUCUUAUCAUAUGCUAUUUGUGGUCACCCCAAAAUAUUUUCCACUGAGAUCAAGGUGCCAUUUGGAAGUGAUGCAAACCUUGCAUGUAUGAGCAAUUUCAGAUCUGAGAUAAAUAACCAAGAGAGAGGAAGAAGGCAAGGUGUGAGUAGUCCGAAAAGGAUCUAUGGGACAUUCCAUGGAAGUCAUACUAUAAGAGGCGAAUUCUAUGCAACCCUACUACGUCUAUAUGUGAAAAGACUAAAGAUGACCCCUAGAGGAGCGAAGAAUUCCGAAGAUGAUCCCACCAGGAUAGAAGAGGUGAUUGAUAUUGGGGCUGGAGAUGAUUCUGUUUCUGAGCUA